Long non-coding RNA from Hemicordylus capensis (graceful crag lizard), 378 nucleotides. RefSeq lists it as uncharacterized. The transcript is spliced from 3 exons. Lineage: Eukaryota; Metazoa; Chordata; Lepidosauria; Squamata; Cordylidae. The record is from RefSeq and is a predicted model, not a curated record.
AAAAAGACUACCUUUACCCGGCCACAGUGAUGAUGAGGGCAGCUGGCGGGGGGAGAGGGAACCCUCACGGAUCCUCCCGCGGCUACAGGAAGCCCCCCGAAGGGGCUACAGAUGGUACCCAGCAACCAGCAGCAUUGGCUAUGAGAGAGGUACAAGCAUUCGAUCACAUCAGGGAGAUGGACAGAGUUUUAACAGAGAAAGAAACAGCAAUAGCCAAACAGUAGCAAAAGUUGGAUUCCAGAUGAUCGACUCCACAUGUAUUUUCCUGCGACUGUAGAAAAUCCUUAAAAGCGUUUAAAAGCUUCACAGUUCAUCUUUAGAAAUGAUCGGAACAGCCUAUUUUAAAGAAUCCAGAAUAAAAAUCAAGAGCAAACAAAA